Molecule: long non-coding RNA, 5565 nt
Organism: Cuculus canorus (common cuckoo)
Lineage: Eukaryota; Metazoa; Chordata; Aves; Cuculiformes; Cuculidae
Exons: 10
Source: RefSeq, a predicted model, not a curated record
CAUAAGUGUGUGAGAAACUAGAAGAAAGAGAAGCAGAAGGUCCUGCACAAUGAAGUAACACCAAAAGAGGCUGGAUGCUGGACACGUGGAGAGAAAGCAAUCUGCGACAAGAAGGAACAUUGUUGCCUGAUGUUGACUUUGCAAACCGUUCUUCAGGCAUUGCUCCACGUAGGAUUUGGGAUCGGACCCGGAAAGAAGGAUGUCACCAAGGAGCGCGAUGUAGGCAAUGGCCAACCGGAGCGUGUCGAUCUUGGAGAGGCGUUUCUCGUACGGGAAGAAACGUCUCUAAGAAAUCACGAGAGAAAAAUCAGAAACCUGGGAGCAAGAUCAAAUGCCACCCAUGACAACAAACUGGUCUGCAAGAAAAAGUCUCUCCUCAUCUGCAUGGGAACAAAGACAGAAGUAGAUGGGGACAACUAAAGGACUGUGUACUGCUGUACUCCAUGAAAAAUGCAAGGACUGAGUCUUAAAUAGCAAUUUUGGAACCACUCGGGUGAGUUGUUUACUGAGUGUGAUCGGUGAGGACACAGCUCUGCAGUUGAAUCCCGCACCAGCACGCCCUGCCCCAGAGGCUUGGGAAGACCAGCAUCAUGGUCCCCUUCCAGGGACGCUGAGCUGAUGAUGAUCUCACUUUAUUUUUUGGUGUUUCUUCUUUUUAACUGCUAGCAGGUGAUUGCUGGAUCAAAGAAAGAAGCCCGUGGUCUCUCUGUGAAAGAUGAGUGCCUCACAGCAGUAAGGAGGGAGCCCAGGGAAGAGUUGGAUCAGAUGAAUCAUCCUGAGUAAAAGAUGUUUAGUUCCACCAUCUCCCAUCCUUCCCUCCCUGCUCUGAGUCAGUGAUCUGCAGUGACACCGUUUUCUGAGGCUGGUCUGUAGAAAAGCAAGGUCGUGAUUAAUGGAGUGCAUGAGAGAAAGAGGCAGCGGCAAACAAGUGAGCAUCAAAUCAGGAGAGCUGAGAGCUCAUCGCCAGUAGCACGAAUGCAGUCUCUCACCAUUAAAACAUUAACGCGUUUAGAUCAUUGCGGUGGCUGACGGUCAUCUUGGGUACAGUCCCAAGUGUGAGUUCCUGCUCUAUGAAUUCAGCAUUAACAAGAAGCAAGUUUUCAUAGGAUUUAAAGCCAGAAGGGAAUAAUUAAAGUCCUUUAGUCUGAUUGCUGUGAUAACGCACGCCUUUGGUUGUUACCCAGCAGUUUUGGCCCCAUGCCAGGUGGGAUAUUCUUGUUGUAGUUGGAUACUUAUUUUUUAAAAGCAUACAUCCAAUCUUGACUCGAAGUCCCCACGUGACAGACCACCAAAGGAUCUACAAAAGCUGGCAGGACAUUUGCUGAAAGCACGCGUGUGAUUUGCUGGUUAUAGGCUGGUUACCGUGCCUGCGUCUACUGCCGUGGUCGAAAGGGCAGUAAAUGCCCUGAGCAAAAAUGUCAGAUUUGAAGCACGGCUCGGCACUGGGGGACAAAUUAGCAAAUCUUCUGGAGACAGAGAGCGCCGUCACCAGAAACAAAACCACUGGGAAGAGCCAGACCACAGGCAGGAGCAGAGGCACUGCUGAGCUUCACAGCAGGAGUCAUAGGAGCAAGCAAAUGGAGACAGACCAGGGAAACACAGUCCAGUUUUCUUUCCCCAGUGAGGCUCCUAAUUCCCACUGCCUCUUAUCUAGGGACGUGUUUGGGGAAGCUGGAUAGCAAAGUCUCUUUUAAAGCUAACUUUAGCUGCCUGUGAAGGAGGUGUUGACACCUGAAUAAGCUGAAUGGACUCUCUUCACUGAUGCUGGCAGGAAAUUGGAAGCAGGCAAUGAGGAGGAUGAAUUGGCUAUGAAUGGAAGAAGGAGACUUCUACGCCAUCUUCCAAGCUGGCAUACAGGAUUCUAAGCUGAUGCUGUUUUGUUGCUUGAGUUGUGCAAACCUACAAGCAAAUCUAUUUACCGAAGCCUUGGGCAUGGGGGUUUCUGCGAAUGCGUGGUUCCUGCUACAUGCCACGGGCGUCUCCUUUGCUGCCCAGAUAUUCAGGUUGCGUCUCAAACCCAUGAUGAAAGAAGCCCUUACUUUUCAAAUAGUUGCAACCUCGGUAUGAACCAGCUGCAACCCCAGGAGUCCCUAAAUUGCAGGUCGUUGGAAGCUAGGGGAGGAUGCCAGGGAAAUUAUUAUCAUGACCUGUACUGUUUCUACGAGGGUGCAGUGCUGGCUACAUGAAAGCCAAGGGAGUGUUUAUCUCCUGACCAGGCAGCUACUGCCUAGCAGAACUGGUCAACUAGGUAACGACAUUAGCUUAAAAAGCCUUCCUCUCUUUUCCAUCUGAAUGUAUUUGUGGGAGGCUACUUGUCUUUAGAUUCUUUUUUUCCCACUAAAAAGGAAAGAUAACUGAGCUUUUCAUGAAAUCUUCUGCUUCCAGAACUUGACACUCAGAGGAGACUCUCAAGUGCUGUUAGCUCUGCAUGAAUAUUUGAGUCAGUCUUCAAGGAAUGUGUUUGAAAUUUCUAGCUAUAGUGAGGAAGACUUAAAUGGGAAAUCUCUUGAGAAACCAGUGUGCUCUGGGGAGUUCUGCUGCUGCGCAGUUCGAGGCAGCCAGAGGAUUGUGAUGAGAGCAGCUCUUUGCAAACUCUGCCCCCACUGUCAGCUGGAACUGUGAGUUGCACAAGCCACGGACAUGAAUAAUAGCGCACGGGAAGAUGUUGCACAAUACUUUGAGACCUCAAAGGCCAUGCAGUUCAUGCCAUUCAUGGGCAAAGGCUGGGUCCAUUCCUUGUUUUAGCUGGGAAGAUACUUCUAAUUGUGGCUGCAGCAUGAAGACAAAAGCAUGUGGCUGAGAUGUUUGUGGGAGGUAGAUCAUUAAAUGGUGUAGCUGUGGCUGCAGAAUAGAGUGCUGCAGCUCCCAGGGGGUCGGUUGGCAGUGUGCAGUUCCCCUAAAGGGUUUAUCUGUAUGCUAUGUGUGGGCCACAUAACAUUCAGCUGUUACGGAGAACUUCUGAAACACACAACAUUAUUUUAAAGGUGCGGCAUGAGAGUCUCAUUUUCAGGAGGAGAAACCGAGGCACACCAUGGGCAUCAGCUCAGCAGGUCAGCAAAUCUGCUGCGUGGAGGAAGGAUUAAAUCUCACCAGGCUCAGUCUCACAGGAAAUACCAUUGCCCCCACUCCAACAGCUGAGCUCGUUGUGGAUGCCCAGAAGGUCACGUGUCCUAGACCUCCUGCCGUUCCUUUUCCUGGGCUAUAUUUCAGACCAGCAGUUCAUGUAGUCGCGGCAGAGCAAGAUGGUAUGAAGAACAAUCUUAACUCCAGCAACUCUGGGCUCUACGUGAUCCAUCUCACCUUCACUAAGAAAACUUUAUGAUGACUUGGAGUGAUUAAUGUGUUUGGGAGGACUGAGUAAUAAGUCAACAGUCACAAGCUAUAGGACACCUCUUUGUGAAUUAGAGGAAGAUGGCUCAGAGAAAUGACUUUGUAUCCAGUAUUGCAGGUUCUGAGAUGUUUCGUCUCAGAGCUGAAGAAUGUGGGAUGGACGCAGCGCUGGAGGUGACACCGUGUCUUACUCAAGGGAAGACUGAAGAACAAUCUCACCUUUAAAAGUGCGUGGUGAACCCUUUUGGGAUACGGAAGCAUCCUAAACCAUGUGAAAUUUAUGGAGGAUUACAUGAGAAUUGGUGUGCUGCAUGAAAUUCACCUCAGAGGGAAGCUGAUAACGCUGUUCUGUCCUCAGAGUAAUGAAUGUGCUAAACCUCACACCACCAGAAAUCCAAGGAAACAGAACAUCUAUUUUUAAAAAUACAACCACAAACUGCCCCCAGCAUUCACGCAUCAUUAGAAAGCUAAACCACAGCCCAGAAAUCAACCCCUUCAGUCUGAACAUGUGCUCCCAGCGCGGGGAGGGAUGGACCGACACAAAGCCGCUCUGUGAGGAGCAGCCGGGGCACUGCUGAACCGCUGCAGCGUGAAAAACCCGGGGGGUGAACCAGUCCCACCGAGACCAGGAAAGCAUCAUGAGCCACGGCUCCUCCUUUUGGGGCGCAAAGGGUCCUCGCCUGGCACUGACCUUUCCCUCUCGGUGAUGCUUGGGGAUGCUUGGAGAAGCCGCCGGGGGAUACCAAGGGAUCCUGGUUGUCUGCUUUGGCCCAGACCAGCGUUUAGCUGACUCCUUCCCGUGAAAUUCACUUGGACUCCACCGAAUGGGGGACUUGUCCUGAUCUUCUGCUGGCUUCCUCCACCAGGACCAGCCUGGAGCAAGAGGUAAGUAUCACCGUGCCCUUCAAGGAGGAGUGCUGCUCUUCGCUGAAGUUCAGGAUGGAUUAAAUCAGCAGAGAACACACCCUGAAGAUGCUGCCUUGGACUUCAGGGCUCCCAUCCUCGACUGGCCGCCCUGCAGACCUCAUCCAUCUCCAUGAGAAGCAGCCCAACAAGCCCCUCGGUGACCCCCCGGAGCUGGGGAUAGGCAGCCGUGGCGCACCGCUGCAGGAUGAUUCAAGCAGCACCCUCCUCCGCUGCUGCUCCCUCCCACGAAUCACGAUUUCCCCAAAGCCUCCGAGCUGUGAGAGUGGAUGAUCCUCUCGUGCUGCCCGUUCCCCAGCACAGCCUUCCUUGUGCCUCACCCCUGCUCUCCAGGGCCAAGGAGUACCCCAAAACACAUCCUUCUUCGAUAGUCAUGAUGGAUAUCUGAGGUUCAUUCUCCACUCUCACCUGCCUGCAUCUGUCCUUGCUCUAAUUUACGUGGGUUUAAGCUCUGAUGAUGUUUUUCCCCCCUUGAAAAGCAGCAGGGUUGGGCGGCAAAUGGCUGAGGGAGACCAACACGCACGCUAGGAAUGCAGGGUCAGUUUUUGCAGGGUACAGCUUCAACCACUUGGCAAAACCCCUUCCUCCUCUUCUUCUCCUCCCCUCCUCCUCCUCAUCAUCCCUCUUCUGAUUUGAGCAAUGAAAAACAACUUCCUGUCAAUAAACAUGAACAAAAGCUUGGACGCGUCUUCAAAGUGAUGAGUUAUGUCUAAAAUAUGUCUCAGAGCACUUUGAAUGUUCCUGUAAACUGGAGGGAAAUUAUUAUUCAUGGUGCUUUGGCGUUGAAGGAGAGUUUAUAAAUAACCGCCACAGGUCUGCAUGAGUUACUUUUGCCAUGAGAAAAAAUGAAAGGGGACGUGGAGAGAGAGAGAGAGGGAUGAGAAAGGCCUAAAAGGGGGAAAAAAAAAUCGUGUUCAAAAUCUGGGGAAUAGCAUGACUUUUAAAUGUUUAAAAGUAGUUGGUAAAUGUGGAAUCAUCCCCGUGCCAGGCAUGAAGUGGGUCUGACUUUGGGAGAGCAUCGUGUCCCAGAGCAUGGUCAUGCCUGUAGGGGCUGGGCUGUCUGCUGCCAUUGCUGCAUGGGACAUGGAAGAAGAAAGAAAGCAUACGGUUCCCAUUGGUUUCCAAAAGUGAAAACAUGUGCUGGAAUCACAGCCAGACACGCUUCUUGUUAUUUUAAUGAGAAAUUCCAUAAUUAGUGGCAAAAAAAAUAAAAAGAAGCUACGCUGCAAGUGAAAGAAAACCCCUCUUUCUCCUCUCCAGCACAUGAUAGACGCAUCAAAAAGACUUGGUGUCUUUACAAACAUGCGUUAC